GAUGAACGCUAGCGGCAGGCCUAACACAUGCAAGUCGAGGGAGAAGCCCUUUCGGGGGCAGACACCGGCGCACGGGUGCGUAACGCGUAUGCAACCUACCUUUCACAGGGGGAUAGCCCGAAGAAAUUUGGAUUAAUACCCCAUAAUAUUAUUUGAUGGCAUCAUUUGAUAAUUAAAACUGCUGUGGUGAAAGAUGGGCAUGCGUCCUAUUAGCUAGUUGGAGUGGUAACGGCACCCCAAGGCUACGAUAGGUAGGGGUCGUGAGAGGGAGAUCCCCCACACUGGUACUGAGACAGGGACCAGACUCCUACGGGAGGAAGCAGUGAGGAAUAAUGGUCAAUGGUCGGAAGACUGAACCAGCCAUGCCGCGUGCAGGAAGAAUGCCUUAUGGGUUGUAAACUGCUUUUAUAUGGGAAGAAUAAGGCGUACGUGUACGUUGAUGACGGUACCAUAUGAAUAAGCAUCGGCUAACUCCGUG
RNAcentral lists this ribosomal RNA (478 nucleotides) under uncultured bacterium. RNAcentral describes it as "partial 16S ribosomal RNA". It matches the Rfam family "Bacterial small subunit ribosomal RNA", at positions 28 to 507 of the family's 1533-position model. The record is from RNAcentral.